This 610-nucleotide ribosomal RNA is filed under the name uncultured bacterium. RNAcentral describes it as "bacterial SSU rRNA". The stretch from base 1 to 534 matches the Rfam family "Bacterial small subunit ribosomal RNA", at positions 338 to 873 of the family's 1533-position model. The record is from RNAcentral.
CCUACGGGAGGCAGCAGUAAGGAAUAUUGGUCAAUGGACGCAAGUCUGAACCAGCCAUGCCGCGUGAAGGAUUAAGGUCCUCUGGAUUGUAAACUUCUUUUAUCUGGGACGAAAAAAGGCGAUUCUUCGUCACUUGACGGUACCAGAUGAAUAAGCACCGGCUAACUCCGUGCCAGCAGCCGCGGUAAUAUGGAGGGUGCAAGCGUUAUCCGGAUUCACUGGGUUUAAAGGGUGCGUAGGCGGGCGGGUAAGUCAGUGGUGAAAUCCUAGAGCUUAACUCUAGAACUGCCAUUGAUACUAUCUGUCUUGAAUAUUGUGGAGGUAAGCGGAAUAUGUCAUGUAGCGGUGAAAUGCUUAGAUAUGACAUAGAACACCUAUUGCGAAGGCAGCUUACUACGCAUAUAUUGACGCUGAGGCACGAAAGCGUGGGGAUCAAACAGGAUUAGAUACCCUGGUAGUCCACGCCCUAAACGAUGAUUACUCGACAUUUGUGAUACACUAUAAGUGUUNUGAGAGAAGANAUAAUAAUACACCGAGGAGUACGACGACGAGUAGUAACGUACGAAGAAGUAGAGACGAGAGAGAGCGAGGACGACGACGAGGGAGGAGG